GAGACAAUAAGGGAUUAACAGAACUUUGAAAUUUGGAAACUUCAAGCGGCAGAAGAAGAACAGUUCGUGUCUUCUUCCUGAAUCUUUGCAGUCCCAAAAGGAGCAAUUCGAAUUGACAGUCCAGUUCAUAUUCCUCUGGUUCUCUCUAUCUAUGCACACAUUGUAGUGAUAAACAGUGAAUUGGACGAUGGAGCUUCAAGAAUUUGAGCCGAUAAUUGGGGAAGCAAAACCUGAGUUGGAGAGCUCGGAUUCGAGUCCACUGGGGCCAUUCUUGUUCCAUGUAUAUGCUUCUGAUUCCUCUCACCUAAAAUUCAGCGUCACCGAUUUUCGUUCCAAUACUUUCGAGGUGGUUCGUUCGCUGUCGCAACUUGAGGACAUGAGGGACAGCAUUGGAAUCGGAGGAUCUUGGUCUGAGUUUGUUGAUUACAUCAUAGCUUCCUUCAAAUCUGAAGAUGUAAAACUUGCACUGGAAAGACAUCCAAAGUCAGAUGGAGCUGCUCAUGCUAAAUUAAUUGCCCAGAAAUCAAAAGGAAUGCCUCGUAUUUCCAUUUCUCUCACAAAACUUGUGGAUGCUGCUGCUAGUGAGGCUGUCGCAACUCUAUCACUCCAGCUAUUCAAGGUUUUCAAAAGCAUGCAGCAUUUACUAGUGCAAGAGAAGAAGCACCCUUACCGGUCAAUGGAAGUCACGUCUACUGAAAAGGAGAAGAAUGAACGUAUUCAGAGCCAAUUGGAGCUGCCGUCAAAGAAACAGAAGUUGCAAAAGAUGAAUUCUUCGGACAGAGCAGAUGCCUCUUCUACUUUAGAUAGUAAUGGCCUGCGAAAUUCUCCGGCUAAGCGAGCAUCUCAAGAUUUAGGCUCAACCAAAGUUGCUAAUCGUGUCUUACCAGCGUAUCGCAGGGCAAGAGUAAGGGGAGCCCAUUUGCAGGAUACUGAAGAUGAUGGUGAUAGUUAGAAACAAAUCUUACAUUUCACAUGUUUUACAAAGGACUGGUUUGAUCAAAUUGCACCUUCUCACUACACAUACGCCAAGGUUAAUGAGAGAUGCUCUGAGAGCUGGACUGUGCCGCUGACAGCUUUUCACUGCUAUCAGAUAUAUAUAAGUUUCAGUUUGCUUCUAUUUUGAUGCAUAUAUCAGAAAGAUUGGUAGAGCUUCUGUGGUGCUAGAUAGCAAGAAUGUCAAUAUGAAAGCAAAUAGGCCUACCCUUUCCUGCGCUCCGAGCACGUUGUCUUUGAGAUUGUAAAAUAUGGAGCCCAAAACAAGCCCAGA
RNA transcript from Tripterygium wilfordii, 1267 nucleotides. RefSeq lists it as uncharacterized. NCBI's taxonomy places the organism in Eukaryota, Viridiplantae, Streptophyta, Magnoliopsida, Celastrales, Celastraceae. The record is from RefSeq and is a predicted model, not a curated record. The transcript is spliced from 10 exons.